AUUGAACGCUGGCGGCAGGCUUAACACAUGCAAGUCGAGCGGAGACUUCGGUCUUAGCGGCGAACGGGUGUGUAAUACCUAGGAAUCUGCCUAUUAGUGGGGGAUAACGAAUCGAAAGGUUCGCUAAUACCGCAUACGUCCUACGGGAGAAAGGGGGGAUCUUCGGACCUCUCGCUAAUAGAUGAGCCUAGGCCGGAUUAGCUAGUUGGUAGGGUAAAGGCCUACCAAGGCGACGAUCUGUAGCUGGUCUGAGAGGAUGAUCCGCCACACUGGGACUGAGACACGGCCCAGACUCCUACGGGAGGCAGCAGUGGGGAAUUUUGGACAAUGGGCGCAAGCCUGAUCCAGCCAUGCCGCGUGCGGGACGAAGGCCUCGGUUGUAA
This 383-nucleotide ribosomal RNA is filed under the name uncultured bacterium. RNAcentral's name for it is "bacterial SSU rRNA". It matches the Rfam family "Bacterial small subunit ribosomal RNA", at positions 30 to 428 of the family's 1533-position model. The record is from RNAcentral.